Molecule: long non-coding RNA, 1483 nt
Filed under: Gadus morhua (Atlantic cod)
Lineage: Eukaryota; Metazoa; Chordata; Actinopteri; Gadiformes; Gadidae
Description: lncRNA (ENSGMOG00000029017.1)
Source: RNAcentral
AUGACUCUGACAGAGUUGCUGAAGCAGCCAGGGGAGGGAGGGGGCGCGGAUGGGCAUGGCGGUCACCACCCCAUAGGAACCAACGGCAUCUCUGCCAGAACCCUGCGCUCCAAAAACGAUCAUAACCACCUGAACAAUGCAGCUUUGCCCCCUCUGGGUCCUGCCAUGGCACUGUCCCAUCCCCACAACAACCUGGGCAUCGGCUUCAACAAGUACACAUCCCUCAAGGCUGUGGACUCCACGGCGGGCCGGGACUACUACAAGAGCUACCCCAUGGUGGACUACGGCCACCGCCAGUCCCCGCCCUCCUUCCAGCCCGUCUCCUUCCACCCCAAGGACAAGCCCUUCCUCCCGCCGCCGGACAUCCACGCACCCCUGGCCCUCACCCUGGCCAACGCCUCGCAGAUCCCCAAGCCCAAGAUCGCCAAGACCAACACGCACCCGCUCACCUCCAGCUCGGCCUUCAAAGCCUGGGACCCCAGUAAGAGCCACCCCGGCAGCUCGUCCCCGCACCCGGGACAGAUCCACAUGGGCCUGCCGGCAGGGCUGAUGGCGCAGCAGCAGCAGCAGCAGCAGCAGCAGCACCAUCAGAUGCACCAGCAUCAGCAACAUCACCUUCUCAACUCUCAGGUAGGCCCUCCAUGGCUGUUGCUCAAAGGUAACUCGACUUCUACACGUGUUUAGCUAUUUCGCUCAACGGUCAAGCCGUCAAGCCUACAUUCAAAAGUGGACUGAUCUACCGACAUAAAAUAAAAUAAACAACUGUAGAGGUAGCUGUCGGAAUAAAUGUACAAUGUGAGAAUGUGUAGUUGUUUAUUAACAUAAUAGUUGCAUUCAAGAUGUUAUGUGUUUUCAGACAAAGUGUGUUUCUGGACUGAUUAUACAACAGCUUAAACAAUAUGAGAUUCAGCACAAGUAAUACACAUGCUCAUAUAAUCUGGUGCACCCCUACCAUCUGAAUGUUCUGAAUGGUGGAAGUUUGUUCUCCCGGUGCCUUAUUUAGCGAUUACAAGGCAUACAGCCGGAACAACUCGAGGCUUGAGUAGUUUUUUAAAUCUAGGUUAAAAGACAUGAAAGGCAAAUCUCAAAAUGUUUUAUUUAAAAUAUUAAGCCUGUGAGUUCCCCUUCUACCUCUUCCCUUCUUCCUCUGCUUUCCACGCUUACACAUUUCUUUUAGUAGGAUUUUGAUUCUUCUCAGGAAGCUUUUUUGAUGCCUUUAAAUCAUUCUACAAUUGAACCACUGUCUCCUCAAUUUAAUUAAAUUCAAAGUCAUGGGAAACAUGUUAACAUUACCAAAGCAAGUAAAAUGUCUCUCUGUCUCUCUCUCGCUCUCCAUUUCCUUCUCUCUUUCUAUCUCUAUCCCUCCCCCCUCCCUUUUUCUCUCUCAGUUUCCUUAACUGGAGGAACGGAAUGGUUGUGGGUCAAAUGCAAUAAAAUAUAAUGUAAUGUAAAGUAACUCAUUCUCUCCAUGUCUGUGUUUUGU